RNAcentral lists this transfer RNA (85 nucleotides) under Felis catus (domestic cat). It matches the Rfam family "tRNA". Rfam says of the family: Transfer RNA (tRNA) molecules are approximately 80 nucleotides in length. RNAcentral also lists the same sequence under 1 other name. Lineage: Eukaryota; Metazoa; Chordata; Mammalia; Carnivora; Felidae. The record is from Rfam by way of RNAcentral.
ACCUGGGUGGCUCAGUCGGUUGAGCAUCUGACUUCCACUCAGGUCAUGCUCUCACAGUUUGUGGGUUAGAGCCCCACAUCAGGCU